Molecule: ribosomal RNA, 730 nt
Filed under: uncultured bacterium
Lineage: Bacteria
Description: bacterial SSU rRNA
Rfam family: Bacterial small subunit ribosomal RNA
Source: RNAcentral
CGAGCUUAACACAUGCAAGUCGAACGGGAAACAUUUUAUUGAAGCUUCGGCAGAUUUAGCUUGUUUCUAGAGGCGGACGGGUGAGUAAUGCGUGGGUAACCUGCCUUAUACUGGGGGAUAACAGCCAGAAAUGACUGCUAAUACCGCAUAAGCGCACAGAACCGCAUGGUUCGGUGUGAAAAACUCCGGAGGUAUAAGAUGGACCCGCGUUGGAUUAGCUAGUUGGCAGGGCAGCGGCCAACCAAGGCGACGAUCCAUAGCCGGCCUGAGAGGGUGAACGGCCACAUUGGGACUGAGACACGGCCCAGACUCCUACGGGAGGCAGCAGUGGGGAAUAUUGCACAAUGGGGGAAACCCUGAUGCAGCGACGCCGCGUGAAAGAAGAAGUAUCUCGGUAUGUAAACUUCUAUCAGCAGGGAAGAUAAUGACGGUACCUGACUAAGAAGCCCCGGCUAACUACGUGCCAGCAGCCGCGGUAAUACGUAGGGGGCAAGCGUUAACCGGAUUUACUGGGUGUAGAGGGAGCGUAGACGGUGUGGCAAGUCUGAUGUGAAAGGCAUGGGCUCAACCUGUGGACUGCAUUGGAAACUGUCAUACUUGAGUGCCGGAGGGGUAAGCGGAAUUCCUAGUGUAGCGGUGAAAUGCGUAGAUAUUAGGAGGAACACCAGUGGCGAAGGCGGCUUACUGGACGGUAACUGACGUUGAGGCUCGAAAGCGUGGGGAGCAAACA